This 459-nucleotide ribosomal RNA is filed under the name uncultured bacterium. RNAcentral's name for it is "partial 16S ribosomal RNA". It matches the Rfam family "Bacterial small subunit ribosomal RNA", at positions 338 to 795 of the family's 1533-position model. The record is from RNAcentral.
CCUACGGGAGGCUGCAGUGAGGAAUAUUGGUCAAUGGUCGGGAGACUGAACCAGCCAAGCCGCGUGAGGGAGGAAGGUCCAGAGUAUCGUAAACCUCUUUUGUCAGGGAACAAAGUCGGGGACGUGUCCCCGGCUGCGUGUACCUGCAGAACAAGCAUCGGCUAACUCCGUGCCAGCAGCCGCGGUAAUCCGGAGGAUGCGAGCUUUAUCCGGAUUUAUUGGGUUUAAGGGGUGCGCAGGCGGUCUGUUAAGUCAGCGGUCAAAGCCCGGGGCACAACCCCGGCCCGCCGUUGAAACUGGCAGUCUCGAGUGGGAGAGAAGUAUGCGGAAUGCGCGGUGUAGCGGUGAAAUGCAUAGAUAUCGCGCAGAACUCCGAUUGCGAAGGCAGCAUGCCGGCUCCAGACUGACGCUGAGGCACGAAAGCGUGGGUAUCGAACAGGAUUAGAUACCCGAGUAGUC